GAGGAAUAUUGCGCAAUGGAGGCAACUCUGACGCAGCCAUGCCGCGUGCAGGAAGAAGGCGCUACGCGUUGUAAACUGCUUUUAACCGGGAAGAAACCCCAGGACGUGUCCUGGGUUGACGGUACCGGAGGAAUAAGCACCGGCUAACUUCGUGCCAGCAGCCGCGGUAAUACGAAGGGUGCAGGCGUUAUCCGGAUUCAUUGGGUUUAAAGGGUGCGUAGGCGGAGCGUUAAGUCAGUGGUGAAAUCCUGCAGCUUAACUGUAGACUUGCCAUUGAUACUGGCGCUCUUGAGUGCGCUUGAAGUAGGCGGAAUGUGCCGUGUAGCGGUGAAAUGCUUAGAUAUGGCACAGAACACCAAUUGCGAAGGCAGCUUACUAAGGCGAUACUGACGCUGAGGCACGAAAGCGUGGGGAGCGAAC
Molecule: ribosomal RNA, 420 nt
Filed under: uncultured bacterium
Lineage: Bacteria
Description: bacterial SSU rRNA
Rfam family: Bacterial small subunit ribosomal RNA
Source: RNAcentral